This 1423-nucleotide ribosomal RNA is filed under the name metagenome. RNAcentral's name for it is "bacterial SSU rRNA". It matches the Rfam family "Bacterial small subunit ribosomal RNA". The record is from RNAcentral.
AUCGAGUGGCAAACGGGUGAGUAACACGUAAACAACCUGCCUUCAGGAUGGGGACAACAGACGGAAACGACUGCUAAUACCGAAUACGCUUGGAAGACCGCAUGAUCUUCCAAGGAAAGGGUGGCCUCUACCUGUAAGCUAUCGCCUGAAGAGGGGUUUGCGUCUGAUUAGGCAGUUGGUGAGGUAACGGCCCACCAAACCUACGAUCAGUAGCCGGUCUGAGAGGAUGAACGGCCACACUGGAACUGAGACACGGUCCAGACUCCUACGGGAGGCAGCAGUGGGGAAUCUUCCGCAAUGGGCGGAAACCCUGACCGAGCAACGCCGCGUGAAGGAAGAAGUAAUUCGUUAUGUAAACUUCUGUCAUAGAGGAAGAACGGUGGAUAUAGGGAAUGAUAUCCAAGUGACGGUACUCUAUAAGAAAGCCACGGCUAACUACGUGCCAGCAGCCGCGGUAAUACGUAGGUGGCGAGCGUUAUCCGGAAUUAUUGGGCGUAAAGAGGGAGCAGGCGGCACUAAGGGUCUGUGGUGAAAGAUCGAAGCUUAACUUCGGUAAGCCAUGGAAACCGUAGAGCUAGAGUGUGUGAGAGGAUCGUGGAAUUCCAUGUGUAGCGGUGAAAUGCGUAGAUAUAUGGAGGAACACCAGUGGCGAAGGCGACGAUCUGGCGCAUAACUGACGCUCAGUCCCGAAAGCGUGGGGAGCAAAUAGGAUUAGAUACCCUAGUAGUCCACGCCGUAAACGAUGAGUACUAAGUGUUGGGAGUCAAAUCUCAGUGCUGCAGUUAACGCAAUAAGUACUCCGCCUGAGUAGUACGUUCGCAAGAAUGAAACUCAAAGGAAUUGACGGGGGCCCGCACAAGCGGUGGAGCAUGUGGUUUAAUUCGAAGCAACGCGAAGAACCUUACCAGGUCUUGACAUCGAUCUAAAGGCUCCAGAGAUGGAGAGAUAGCUAUAGAGAAGACAGGUGGUGCAUGGUUGUCGUCAGCUCGUGUCGUGAGAUGUUGGGUUAAGUCCCGCAACGAGCGCAACCCCUGUUGCCAGUUGCCAGCAUUAAGUUGGGGACUCUGGCGAGACUGCCGGUGACAAGCCGGAGGAAGGCGGGGAUGACGUCAAAUCAUCAUGCCCCUUAUGACCUGGGCUACACACGUGCUACAAUGGACAGAGCAGAGGGAAGCGAAGCCGCGAGGUGGAGCGAAACCCAUAAAACUGUUCUCAGUUCGGACUGCAGUCUGCAACUCGACUGCACGAAGAUGGAAUCGCUAGUAAUCGCGAAUCAGCAUGUCGCGGUGAAUACGUUCUCGGGCCUUGUACACACCGCCCGUCACACCAUGAGAGUCGGUAACACCCGAAGCCGGUGGCCUAACCGCAAGGAAGGAGCUGUCUAAGGUGGGACUGAUGAUUGGGGUGAAGUCGUAACAAGGUA